GCUUGUUUUCCGACCUAAUUAUAUAAAAAAAUUAAGCGUUAAUAAUAUGUUGAUAAAAUUCUUUGGCAAAUAAUUGGCAUUAAUGCAUUAAUUUCGACCAA
This is a long non-coding RNA of Melitaea cinxia (Glanville fritillary), 101 nucleotides long. RefSeq lists it as uncharacterized. NCBI's taxonomy places the organism in Eukaryota, Metazoa, Arthropoda, Insecta, Lepidoptera, Nymphalidae. The transcript has 3 exons. The record is from RefSeq and is a predicted model, not a curated record.